CCUACGGGUGGCAGCAGUGAGGAAUAUUGGUCAAUGGACGAGAGUCUGAACCAGCCAAGUCGCGUGAAGGAUGACUGCCCUAUGGGUUGUAAACUUCUUUUAUAGGGGAGUAAAUUGUUCCACGUGUGUGCUUUUGUAUUUACCAUAUGAAUAAGGAUCGGCUAACUCCGUGCCAGCAGCCGCGGUAAUACGGAGGAUCCGAGCGUUAUCCGGAUUUAUUGGGUUUAAAGGGAGCGUAGGGGGAUUGUUAAGUCAGUUGUGAAAGUUUGCGGCUCAACCGGAAAAGUGCAGUGGAUACUGGGAGUCUUGAGUACAGUAGAGGAGGGCGGAAUUCGUGGUGUAGCGGUGAAAUGCGUAGAUAUAACGAAGAACUCCGAUGGCGAAGGCAGCUCACUGGACUGUAACUGACACUGAGGCUCGAAAGUGUGGGUAGCAAACAGGAUUAGAUACCCUUGUAGUC
This 460-nucleotide ribosomal RNA is filed under the name uncultured bacterium. Its description in RNAcentral is "partial 16S ribosomal RNA". It matches the Rfam family "Bacterial small subunit ribosomal RNA", at positions 338 to 795 of the family's 1533-position model. The record is from RNAcentral.